GGUUGUGACGGACUGCGUGGUGCAACCUGAACUGUGGGACCGCUGACCCUUCUUUACAACCAGCCUGGGCUCCCUCUCAUACUGGGAUGCUGUGAAAAGCUGCAAACCUCUGGCAGACUAAUCCAACAGAUCUACAGUGAACCUGUGGUGCAGUGUGUUAAAAGAAAGCCAACUGAGGAACAGAGACUAACCCUGUAACACCAGGCAGCACCAAAAGCAUCAGAAGAGCAAGAAAAUAAUACAUUUUCUCAUUCCAUCCUGGGUUAAUGUCAUGUUACCUCCUGGAGGUCCAAAGUAACAGCUAAGGCC
Molecule: long non-coding RNA, 309 nt
Organism: Mauremys reevesii (Reeves's turtle)
Lineage: Eukaryota; Metazoa; Chordata; Testudines; Geoemydidae
Exons: 3
Source: RefSeq, a predicted model, not a curated record